GAUGAACGCUAGCGGCAGGCUUAACACAUGCAAGUCGAGGGGUAUUUAUCUUCGGAUAGAGAGACCGGCGCACGGGUGCGUAACGCGUAUGCAAUCUACCUUUUACAGAGGGAUAGCCCAGAGAAAUUUGGAUUAAUACCUCAUAGUAUAUAGACUCGGCAUCGAGAUUAUAUUAAAGUCACAACGGUAAAAGAUGAGCAUGCGUCCCAUUAGCUAGUUGGUAAGGUAACGGCUUACCAAGGCUACGAUGGGUAGGGGUCCUGAGAGGGAGAUCCCCCACACUGGUACUGAGACACGGACCAGACUCCUACGGGAGGAAGCAGUGAGGAAUAUUGGACAAUGGGCGCAAGCCUGAUCCAGCCAUGCCGCGUGCAGGAUGACGGUCCUAUGGAUUGUAAACUGCUUUUAUACGAGAAGAAACACUGCUACGUGUAGCAGCUUGACGGUAUCGUAAGAAUAAGGAUCGGCUAACUCCGUG
RNAcentral lists this ribosomal RNA (478 nucleotides) under uncultured bacterium. Its description in RNAcentral is "partial 16S ribosomal RNA". It matches the Rfam family "Bacterial small subunit ribosomal RNA", at positions 28 to 507 of the family's 1533-position model. The record is from RNAcentral.